AAMCMKCCUUKGGGUGUUUCCUUGCSGCCCUYUUUUYCCUGCUCGCCCCGGCCGCYAGUGUGAUGGAUAUYUUURGKKRRMGCCCUUAGAGUUUGAUCCUGGCUCAGAACGAACGCUGGCGGCGUGCUUAACACAUGCAAGUCGAACGUGAUCCAGAGCUUGCUCUGGUGAAAGUGGCGCACGGGUGAGUAACGCGUGGAUAACCUGCCCUGGUAUCUGGGAUAACAUCUCGAAAGGGGUGCUAAUACCGGAUAAGCCUACGGGAUCUUCGGAUUCUGCAGGAAAAGGAGGCCUCUAUUUAUAAGCUUCCGUAUCAUGAUGGGUCCGCGUACCAUUAGCUAGUUGGUGGGGUAAUGGCCUACCAAGGCGACGAUGGUUAGCUGGUCUGAGAGGAUGAUCAGCCACACUGGAACUGAGACACGGUCCAGACUCCUACGGGAGGCAGCAGUGGGGAWUUUUGCGCAAUGGGGGAAACCCUGACGCAGCAACGCCGCGUGAGUGAUGAAGGCUUUCGGGUCGUAAAGCUCUGUCAGAGGGGAAGAAAUGAAACGUGCUAAUAUCACGUUUUCUUGACGGUACCCUCAAAGGAAGCACCGGCUAACUCCGUGCCAGCAGCCGCGGUAAUAC
This 627-nucleotide ribosomal RNA is filed under the name uncultured Geobacteraceae bacterium. Its description in RNAcentral is "bacterial SSU rRNA". The stretch from base 81 to 627 matches the Rfam family "Bacterial small subunit ribosomal RNA", at positions 1 to 526 of the family's 1533-position model. Lineage: Bacteria; Pseudomonadati; Thermodesulfobacteriota; Desulfuromonadia; Geobacterales; Geobacteraceae. The record is from RNAcentral.